This 465-nucleotide ribosomal RNA is filed under the name uncultured bacterium. RNAcentral describes it as "bacterial SSU rRNA". It matches the Rfam family "Bacterial small subunit ribosomal RNA", at positions 338 to 795 of the family's 1533-position model. The record is from RNAcentral.
CCUACGGGUUGCAGCAGUGGGGAAUAUUGCACAAUGGGCGCAAGCCUGAUGCAGCCAUGCCGCGUGUGUGAAGAAGGCCUUCGGGUUGUAAAGCACUUUCAGCGGGGAGGAAGGCGUUAAGGUUAAUAACCUUGGCGAUUGACGUUACCCGCAGAAGAAGCACCGGCUAACUCCGUGCCAGCAGCCGCGGUAAUACGGAGGGUGCAAGCGUUAAUCGGAAUUACUGGGCGUAAAGCGCACGCAGGCGGUCUGUCAAGUCGGAUGUGGAAUCCCCGGGCUUAACCUCGGAAUUGCAUUUGAAACUGGCAGGCUAGAGUCUUGUAGAGGGGGGUAGAAUUUCAGGUGUAGCGGUGAAAUGCGUAGAGAUCUGAAGGAAUACCAGUGGCGAAGGCGGCCCCCUGGACAAAGACUGACGCUCAGAUGCGAAAGCGUGGGGAGCAAACAGGAUUAGAUACCCGCGUAGUC